Molecule: ribosomal RNA, 255 nt
Filed under: uncultured bacterium
Lineage: Bacteria
Description: partial 16S ribosomal RNA
Rfam family: Archaeal small subunit ribosomal RNA
Source: RNAcentral
GGCCACUAUUAUUGGGCCUAAAGCGUCCGUAGCUGGCCGAACAGGUCCGUCGGGAAAUCCGCUCGCUCAACGAGCGGACGUCCGGCGGAAACCAGUCGGCUUGGGACCGGAAGACCCGAGGGGUACGUCCGGAGUAGGAGUGAAAUCCUGUAAUCCUGGACGGACCACCGGUGGCGAAAGCGCCUCGGGAGGACGGAUCCGACAGUGAGGGACGAAAGCUUGGGUCACGAACCGGAUUAGAUACCCCCGUAGUCC